Molecule: long non-coding RNA, 527 nt
Filed under: Lathyrus oleraceus (garden pea)
Lineage: Eukaryota; Viridiplantae; Streptophyta; Magnoliopsida; Fabales; Fabaceae
Description: Pisum sativum (pea) long non-coding RNA (PSAT_LNC001022)
Source: RNAcentral
AUAAAAUUGGUAAAUCACUUUUGACAUGUAUUAGAACCAGAAUCAAUUUUCCAACCAAAACCCUAAUAGCCACUGAAAUCGAUGAAAAAAAGGAAUCGCGCGUUUGAAAAUUCAAGGCUGAACCAAACAAACAAAUGCGUUUGAAAAUUCACGGCUGAACCAAACAAAUGCAGUUAUAAUUAUACGAUUAAUUCUUGACUGCAAUGGAAGAAAAUAGGGUUAGGGUUUUGAAUUUGGGAAUAAAUAAGGACAAAAUAGAGUAAAUAGGGUUUUCGUUUCUGAUUUGGUGUGUUAAACUACACUCCUGAAAAUGGGCUAUAUCAUGUGGCCGGUUCGCCAGAUCAAGGUUAGGGUUUUGAAUUUGGGAAUAAAUAAGGACAAAAUAGAGUAAAUAGGGUUUUCGUUUCUGAUUUGGUGUGUUAAACUACACUCCUGAAAAUGGGCUAUAUCAUGUGGCCGGUUCGCCAGAUCAUAAAAAUUAUAGUAUAUAUUUUUUUUUUGGACGACUUAACUAAAUCCUAAAAAAA